RNAcentral lists this long non-coding RNA (255 nucleotides) under Glycine max (soybean). RNAcentral's name for it is "long non-coding RNA (GMAX_LNC000447)". Lineage: Eukaryota; Viridiplantae; Streptophyta; Magnoliopsida; Fabales; Fabaceae. The record is from RNAcentral.
UUAUCCCUGCUUGACACCUUUAUCCCUAGAUAUUCCACUAAAAACCAAAAGCAAGGAUAAAGCGAUUCCACUAUGAGAAUGUAUUAUUUGUGCACUACUGCAAUAGUCUAAAUAUCAACCUAGUGAACAUAUUCCUCCCAAUCUGUGGGUUUCCUGCUAACGCAUUUGGGUCACUGUUGCUGCGUGCUAUCAUUGCUAGUCGUAAGUUGGAACUGUAAUUGCAGGAUGAACAACUAAUAUUAUGAGAGAUAAAUA